GUGCCAUGAUGAGGAUACUUUCUGAGUAGUUCUUUGAAUCUUUCCCAAGCAUCAUAUAGUUAUUCUCCAUCCAAUUGACAGAAAUUAUUGAUCUUUUCUCUUAAACAU
Cannabis sativa is the source of this 108-nucleotide small nucleolar RNA. Lineage: Eukaryota; Viridiplantae; Streptophyta; Magnoliopsida; Rosales; Cannabaceae. The record is from RefSeq and is a predicted model, not a curated record.